RNAcentral lists this long non-coding RNA (201 nucleotides) under Setaria italica (foxtail millet). RNAcentral's name for it is "long non-coding RNA (SITA_LNC001700)". Lineage: Eukaryota; Viridiplantae; Streptophyta; Magnoliopsida; Poales; Poaceae. The record is from RNAcentral.
GAUAUCGCCCAGGUAGCAGCUACGUGUUGACUCAUAUUUGAUACAGGUUUCCCGGUUGUGCUUCCUUUUUUCUUACGAAAACACAAUUGUUCUAUUUAUUUUCACUUCUCUCAACUAGGCUUGUAUUAUAAUUUAAAAAGAUUUUCUCGCUUUUCAUCUCUUAUAGUUCAAAUCUCUAAAGCGACUUACCACAUAAGGGAG